Molecule: long non-coding RNA, 196 nt
Organism: Drosophila pseudoobscura
Lineage: Eukaryota; Metazoa; Arthropoda; Insecta; Diptera; Drosophilidae
Exons: 2
Source: RefSeq, a predicted model, not a curated record
AAAGAAUGAGGAUUGCUGGCCAACGAUAUUCAUCGUCUCAAGAUGCGUUGGCUACUGGCUGUGCCCUGCGUUCUGGCAGUUAUGAUUCCCGACAGCUACUCACCAACCCUCAAUUUGUUGCUACCUUAAACGGGGCUUGUGCCAGGUCGGAGCUAGGAAUUCCAGAGAUCGGACAUAAAUGAUUGUGAAAGCAUAA